RNAcentral lists this ribosomal RNA (253 nucleotides) under uncultured bacterium. RNAcentral describes it as "partial 16S ribosomal RNA". It matches the Rfam family "Bacterial small subunit ribosomal RNA", at positions 524 to 776 of the family's 1533-position model. The record is from RNAcentral.
UACGUAGGUGGCAAGCGUUGUCCGGAUUUACUGGGCGUAAAGAGCGCGCAGGCGGUCGUCCAAGUCGCGUGUGAAAGCCCCCGGCUCAACUGGGAGGGUCACGCGAUACUGAUCGACUGGAAGGCAGGAGAGGGUAGUGGAAUUCCCGGUGUAGUGGUGAAAUGCGUAGAUAUCGGGAGGAACACCAGUGGCGAAGGCGACUACCUGGCCUGUUCUUGACGCUGAGGCGCGAAAAGCUAGGGGAGCAAACGGG